Molecule: long non-coding RNA, 625 nt
Organism: Mauremys reevesii (Reeves's turtle)
Lineage: Eukaryota; Metazoa; Chordata; Testudines; Geoemydidae
Exons: 3
Source: RefSeq, a predicted model, not a curated record
UGAUACAGUGAUGAUACUACCUAGGCAGACAGACGGAUAGAAUGAUAGGAUUCAUGGAUCAUCCUCUUUCAGUUUCAGUAUCAAUAAUCUUGAUCAUUUCUAAAAUUUGUUGCAAAAUUUGGCACAAAUUCUCUUACACAUGCCAGGCCAGUGCAGGAAGUCACUGGGAGAAUUAACACACUACAAUGGGAGAAGUCAGAGGCAAUUCACACUCACCUGCUCACAGAUUUGUUUGUUUCCCCUUCUUGGUCUCUGAUGCCUGUAAACCACAUACCCCAACAGCAGGCACUGCAAAUUGAAAGGACCCACAUGUCUAAGACUAGCUUCAGACUCUAUCCCUCUUGUGUAACAUCAUCAGAAUUGCUAAACUAAACUCCAACCAGUCGUAUCUGUGCCAGAUCAAUGAAGACAGAGAAAGCUGAUUAUUUUGUACCUUGGAAAGCCCCCCAUCCCUUCUUCUGAGUGACUGACUGAACAGGGUGUGCAAAUUCAGAUUCCAAGAGCAGCUGCUGCAUUUGAAGGAUCUCUGGAGAAUGGUUAUUACAUGGGUUUGUCCCCUCCAAACCAUAGCUUCCUAUUUUAAGGACAACACUUAAGUUAGCCUGGAUCUUAUGUGUAUAUUACU